UAAUAGUGUAUAUUAAAGUUGUUGCAGUUAAAAAGCUCGUAGUUGAAUGUUGGUGUCGAACGAGCGGUCAGCUUCGGCUGUACUGCUCUCUCGACUCCUUCCUUCUGUGGACUACGUCGCACUUUACUUUGUGGCGCUAGGACGCAGAUCGUUUACUGUGAAAAAAUUAGAGUGUUCAAAGCAGGCCGUACGCUUGAAUACAUUAGCAUGGAAUAAUGGAAUAGGACGUCGGGCCUAUUUUGUUGGUUCUAGGACCGUCGUAAUGAUUAAUAGGGACAGUUGGGGCCGUUUAUAUUCCGUAGUCAGAGGUGAAAUUCUUGGAUUUACGGAAGAUAAACUACUGCGAAAGCAUUCGGCAAGGAUGUUUUCGUUAA
This 374-nucleotide ribosomal RNA is filed under the name uncultured eukaryote. Its description in RNAcentral is "partial 18S ribosomal RNA". It matches the Rfam family "Eukaryotic small subunit ribosomal RNA", at positions 592 to 976 of the family's 1831-position model. The record is from RNAcentral.